GCUCAACCGGGGGGGGUCAUUGGAAACUGGGGAACUUGAGUGCAGAAGAGGAGAGUGGAAUUCCACGUGUAGCGGUGAAAUGCGUAGAGAUGUGGAGGAACACCAGUGGCGAAGGCGACUCUCUGGUCUGUAACUGACGCUGAGGCGCGAAAGCGUGGGGAGCGAACAGGAUUAGAUACCCUGGUAGUCCACGCCGUAAACGAUGAGUGCUAAGUGUUAGAGGGUUUCCGCCCUUUAGUGCUGCAGCAAACGCAUUAAGCACUCCGCCUGGGGAGUACGGUCGCAAGACUGAAACUCAAAGGAAUUGACGGGGGCCCGCACAAGCGGUGGAGCAUGUGGUUUAAUUCGAAGCAACGCGAAGAACCUUACCAGGUCUUGACAUCCUCUGACAACCCUAGAGAUAGGGCUUCCCCUUCGGGGGCAGUGUGACAGGUGGUGCAUGGUUGUCGUCAGCUCGUGUCGUGAGAUGUUGGGUUAAGUCCCGCUACGAGCGCAACCCUUGAUCUUAGUUGCCAGCAUUCAGUUGGGCACUCUAAGGUGACUGCCGGUGACAAACCGGAGGAAGGUGGGGAUGACGUCAAAUCAUCAUGCCCCUUAUGACCUGGGGCUACACACGUGCUACAAUGGGCAGAACAAAG
Molecule: ribosomal RNA, 638 nt
Filed under: uncultured bacterium
Lineage: Bacteria
Description: bacterial SSU rRNA
Rfam family: Bacterial small subunit ribosomal RNA
Source: RNAcentral